Long non-coding RNA from Alligator mississippiensis (American alligator), 3737 nucleotides. RefSeq lists it as uncharacterized. NCBI's taxonomy places the organism in Eukaryota, Metazoa, Chordata, Crocodylia, Alligatoridae. The record is from RefSeq and is a predicted model, not a curated record. The transcript has 3 exons.
UGAACAAUAUUUUAACAUUAAAAAGAUCUGUUUUAAUAGAGAUAAAUGUAAAAUCACCCAUCUAAGAAAGAACAUGGAUUAUGUCUAUAAGAUACAGGACUGUAUUCUGCAAUGCAGUAUCCCAGUGAAUGACUUUGCCAUCAUGAGUUUGCAGAGUUAUGAGAGCAAAUACAAUUCUUGGAUAUUUAAUGAGAGGAAUAUCAGGUAGGAGGUAGAAGGGGUUAUUACUACAUUGUUCAACAUUACAAGGACUAUUGCUGUAAUGCUGUUCUCAGUUGAAGUGACCACAUUUGAAAAAGAUUUUGACAAAUUGGAAAGCUACAGGGCAGCUACAGAAUUGAUUCAAGGUCUGGAAAAUCUGGCUUUCAGUCAGAGACUGAAAAAGCUCAAUGUAUGUAGCUUAACUAAGGGAAGCGAAUAACAUGGCGAGCUUGCACUUGGUACCUAUUAGGCCUGUGUGAAGUGGCUAGUUUUUGCUUUGGAUUUGGAUUCGUCUGAUUUGGGGGACAGUGAUUCGAUUUGGUGAUUCGAAUCAUUGUCCUGAAUCAAUUCGGCUCUGCCACGAGCCCCCUGAAGCCCUGAGGCCACAAGAAGAGCACUCCUUGUGCUGACCUGAUUGUGUGUGCACCAUCCUCAUCCUCUCUCAAAGCUUACAGGAUCCCUCAGAGAGAGACAGCUGUGCUCCUCUUGCUAAACAGUUUGGAGCAGCUGUCCCAUCAACUGUUUUCCUGUUGGAUGAGCAGCUCAACUUCCUGGGAGAAUGGAGGAGUCGAUGGUCAGUCAGACAGGUUUUCUGAGAGAGCCAGCUUGGAUUUCUGGGUCUGCCCCAACUUAUUCAGAACAAAGUGACUGGUGCCUAUGAAGAAUUCAACAUGGGAAGAUGACUCAGUGUGAACCCUGACUCAGGGGGAGGCCUGGGAUGGGGUCAUGCUUUAAAUGGCAAUGUUUUCAGAUUUAGUUUUCAUAAGUAAACCUCCCCAAACAGAGAUGUUUCCUACCAGACUGUGGAGCGGAGCACACCACACCACACAGGUAAGGCUAGGCCUGAGGAGGAGUGCAAUCACCAGGGGAGUGCCCUUAACGUCCCUGAGGAGAGGUGGUUCAGCACCAUGAACUGUCCCAGUGAAUGUGGGUAUUGGGAGAGAUGAAGUCCCUUGUGACCAAGUAGCGCCUGUUCCAAACAUGAUUAUAAUACUGCUCCUCCCAUUACCUGUCUUCUCCUCAUCACUAGAAUAAAUUUUAAUUUGAUCUGUGUUGUUGAAAGACAUACUCUGUUCCCACAGAAGGAGAAAGCAUGCUCCAUUCCCUCACCUGCUUGGCGUGUCAGGAUUCUGUAUAUCUGUGUUAUUCCCCAGAAUAAUUGAGUGCACUCCAUCUCAUGGCUACAGAGCAUGAACAGGACUUCUGGGAUACCACAACUUGCAGGAGGCUCAGACUGUCAGGGGGUGAAGGAGGAACCUGCUUGACUCAAGUGCAAAAGGGUGAGGAAUGGGGCAGGGAAGAGGAGAAAGGGCCUAAUGUCAGUGGGAUGGGGGGUGGAGCUUCUGGGAGAGAAAUAGGAACCUGGCAGCAAAGGGGGCUUAGCUUUAGGAGCCAAGAGACAGGUAAAAAGAUGGGAGCUGGUGGGGUGGAAUAGGGAUAAUACAGAGAAAGAGUGUCAAGAGCCAGGAUAAGGCAGAAGUUAGUAGGGUGCAGAGUGACAUGGACAAGAAGAAGGGACAGGAGCAGCAGGAGGGGACUCUGUCCAGACCAGGAAGUAGUAGUAGUAGAAAUGCCAGGAGCUGGAGCAGGCGUGAGCAAUUAUUUGGGUCCAUGGGCCACAUAGGGAGGUUUGGGGAGCUGUUGUGGGCCAGGUCAGCCCCCUACCCCACACAGCAGCUCACCAAACCUCCCUAUGUGGGAUGGGGCCGCAGGCAGGCAGGGGUGGGGGAGCUGGCUGGUAUCAACUUGGUACUAUUUUGCAAAAGUACAAGAGGAUCUUUCCAUUUUCUUUCCCUCCCUGUAUUUACAAUGUAGAAGUCAAAAUAGGACCCUGUCACUAUAUAGGUAGCUCUUUUCAAGAGGCUAACAUCCAGAAGAGGGGGACAGUGUUCAAAAAGCCUUUAAAAUAUUUGUGUUGGUAACUCUUUAUCCAUCUGUAUGAGCUGAGUGGUAUGUGUGUGAAAUUUUGAAUGCUGGAGCAUGCCGGAGGUCUUCUUAAAAUAAACUUGCAGGGAGUUUACCACAAGAAUCCUGUAGUCUCUUUGGAGACACUGAUGAGGUAAAUAUCUCAAUGCAAAUACAAAUAAACAGGUCAGGAAGAAGCUCUUUAAGCAGAAAUGCUAGGGCUAAAAUAGCAAUUAAAAAUAACACGCUGGUCUUUUUUCAGAUACGAAGUCCAUACCAAAUGAUUUUCUUUGGUUAAAACUAUUUCCUCAGCUCCCACUCUGCAGUUUAUCAUUAUUUGUUGUUGUGCUGUGUUUAGAUUUUAAGCUAUUCUGAGGAGGCAGCUACCCAUUUUAUAUUUUUAUAAAGCUCUACGUACAUCCAGGGAAUUGUAUAAACAAUCAUAGUUUAACAGCAUGUCACUUGGUCUAAAAUUUUACCAAAUAGUUAUUUCAGGGAACCAGGGGACCCUAUAAAAUAUAUUUUAUUUGGAAAUCUACCUUUGCAUGAAAAUAAGUGAGAGAAGGCCAAACGGCUCUCAGACAGGGAGUCAACACCUAGCAGGGCUGGUUCCACUUUUGGUUAGUUGCUAUUGUUCUCCAAAGGGGUGCCUUUGGCAGACUCUUGGAUGCAAGCCCAUUAUGAGAUUUUGGUGGGGAGGUAAACACUGAGAGGGGAAAAUACUUUUCCCUUUUUACCUUUCAAAAUAUCAUGAGUGUUGCUUUGUCUCUGGAAUGCAGACAUGCUGUAGUUCAGACAUGUAAUGUUUGGCUUUUCCUGUGACAUUACUUCCCUCUUGGAGUUGAUGCUUCCAGUAAUAAUGCUGGACAGGACAAUGACUUGUGGUACCCAUUUCCCAGGCAGGUAUUUUGGGAGUACCCGUUAGAAGGGAUGCAGUGAUACUUACCCAAAGCAACUAACCACAGGAUCAACAUGAACCAGAAGGGGUUGAUUCCACCCCUUGCUCUGGAGCCAUUAGGUUUUUACAGUGGCAUGUAGGUGCUAUGCAGGAGAAAUGUAAGGUUGACUCCCUUUCUUCUUCCUCUUCUCACAUGGUAAUGUGUGUGUGCUGGGGGUAAGGGAGACAGGCUGGUGCAUAAGUCACUAGGGGAGACAGAGCCCUUAGGAAGCCCUGGAGAGCCUACCAUAAUUUAGAGCAGUUGCAGGUUUCAAUUUGGUACUAUUUUGUCCCUAGAGCAGCCCAAAUUCCAGAGGCGUGAGGUUAACCUAAAGCCACUGAUGGCCUCCUGCCUCUGUGCUGUGAUACAGCCCAGCAUCCAAUGCCAGGCAUUUAGCUGUUGUACUAUGAGGAGUUAAUGACUGCCAUUGAACAGGUGUCUGAUCCAUGGACAAUUGCAGACCCAAAUAAAUCCCAUGUUUGUGCUAAGCACUGUUCUUUUAGGCUUGUUUAUAGAAACAAAGAAGUACCUUUGUGUAGCAAGUUAGAUAAAAACUGUGGAAACCACUGGUCCAAGCAGUGGGCUGCAUAGCACAGUCUGUUAAGAAGGUAAACUGUGUGGGCUGUAGGGUGGCCAUCACAGAAGACAUUCCAGUUUUCUGCUACUCUGUCCUCUGUCCUCUAUUGAUACGAA